AACGAACGCUGGCGGCGUGGAUAAGACAUGCAAGUCGAGCGCUAAUUUAAGGGUAGCAAUAUUCUUAAGUUGGAGCGGCGCAAGGGUGCGUAACACGUGGGUAAUUUGCCGUGAAGUUGGGGAUAACUUGCUGAAAGGCGAGCUAAUACCGAAUGUGACGUUUGGAAGGCAUCUUCCGAAUUUCAAAGCUGGGGACCGCAAGGCCUGGCGCUUCACGAUAAGCCCGCGGCCUACAGCUAGUUGGUGAGGUAAUGGCUCACCAAGGCUAAGACGGGUAGCUGGUCUGAGGAGGACGA
This 296-nucleotide ribosomal RNA is filed under the name uncultured bacterium. Its description in RNAcentral is "partial 16S ribosomal RNA". It matches the Rfam family "Bacterial small subunit ribosomal RNA", at positions 29 to 303 of the family's 1533-position model. The record is from RNAcentral.